UACGUAGGGUGCAAGCGUUAAUCGGAAUUACUGGGCGUAAAGCGUGCGCAGGCGGUUAUACAAGACAGAUGUGAAAGCCCCGAGCUCAACUUGGGAAUGGCAUUGGAAACUGGCGAGCUGGAGUGCGGCAGAGGGGGGUGGAAUUCCACGUGUAGCAGUGAAAUGCGUAGAGAUGUGGAGGAACACCGAUGGCGAAGGC
RNAcentral lists this ribosomal RNA (199 nucleotides) under uncultured prokaryote. Its description in RNAcentral is "partial 16S ribosomal RNA". It matches the Rfam family "Bacterial small subunit ribosomal RNA", at positions 524 to 722 of the family's 1533-position model. The record is from RNAcentral.